UGAACGCUAGCUACAGGCUUAACACAUGCAAGUCGAGGGGCAGCAUUUUAGUUUGCUUGCAAACUGAAGAUGGCGACCGGCGCACGGGUGAGUAACACGUAUCCAACCUGCCGAUAACUCCGGAAUAGCCUUUCGAAAGAAAGAUUAAUACCGGAUAGCAUACGAAUAUCGCAUGAUAUUUUUAUUAAAGAAUUUCGGUUAUCGAUGGGGAUGCGUUCCAUUAGUUUGUUGGCGGGGUGACGGCCCACCAAGACAACGAUGGAUAGGGGUUCUGAGAGGAAGGUCCCCCACAUUGGAACUGAGACACGGUCCAAACUCCUACGGGAGGCAGCAGUGAGGAAUAUUGGUCAAUGGGCGAGAGCCUGAACCAGCCAAGUAGCGUGAAGGAUGAAGGCUCUAUGGGUCGUAAACUUCUUUUAUAUGGGAAUAAAGUUUUCCACGUGUGGAAUUUUGUAUGUACCAUAUGAAUAAGGAUCGGCUAACUCCGUGCCAGCAGCCGCGGUAAUACGGAGGAUCCGAGCGUUAUCCGGAUUUAUUGGGUUUAAAGGGAGCGUAGGUGGAUUGUUAAGUCAGUUGUGAAAGUUUGCGGCUCAACCGUAAAAUUGCAGUUGAAACUGGCAGUCUUGAGUACAGUAGAGGUGGGCGGAAUUCGUGGUGUAGCGGUGAAAUGCUUAGAUAUCACGAAGAACUCCGAUUGCGAAGGCAGCUCACUAGACUGUCACUGACACUGAUGCUCGAAAGUGUGGGUAUCAAACAGGAUUAGAUACCCUGGUAGUCCACACAGUAAACGAUGAAUACUCGCUGUUUGCGAUAUACAGUAAGCGGCCAAGCGAAAGCAUUAAGUAUUCCACCUGGGGAGUACGCCGGCAACGGUGAAACUCAAAGGAAUUGACGGGGGCCCGCACAAGCGGAGGAACAUGUGGUUUAAUUCGAUGAUACGCGAGGAACCUUACCCGGGCUUAAAUUGCAACAGAAUAUAUUGGAAACAGUAUAGCCGUAAGGCUGUUGUGAAGGUGCUGCAUGGUUGUCGUCAGCUCGUGCCGUGAGGUGUCGGCUUAAGUGCCAUAACGAGCGCAACCCUUAUCUUUAGUUACUAACAGGUGAUGCUGAGGACUCUAGAGAGACUGCCGUCGUAAGAUGUGAGGAAGGUGGGGAUGACGUCAAAUCAGCACGGCCCUUACGUCCGGGGCUACACACGUGUUACAAUGGGGGGUACAGAAGGCGGCUACCUGGUGACAGGAUGCUAAUCCCAAAAACCUCUCUCAGUUCGGAUCGAAGUCUGCAACCCGACUUCGUGAAGCUGGAUUCGCUAGUAAUCGCGCAUCAGCCAUGGCGCGGUGAAUACGUUCCCGGGCCUUGUACACACCGCCCGUCAAGCCAUGAAAGCCGGGGGUACCUGAAGUACGUAACCGCAAGGAGCGUCCUAGGGUAAAACUGG
Molecule: ribosomal RNA, 1438 nt
Filed under: uncultured organism
Description: 16S ribosomal RNA
Rfam family: Bacterial small subunit ribosomal RNA
Source: RNAcentral